Molecule: RNA transcript, 8003 nt
Organism: Anguilla anguilla (European eel)
Lineage: Eukaryota; Metazoa; Chordata; Actinopteri; Anguilliformes; Anguillidae
Gene name: zinc finger protein DPF3-like
Exons: 11
Source: RefSeq, a predicted model, not a curated record
CCUCAGACUUGAUUGGCUGUUUUUUUAGUAGGGUCCCCUCAGUACUUGGAGUUGCUCUAUAUUGGGUUACAGUGUGGCAAAAUGGCGGCUGUCAUUCAGAAUCCACUCAAAGCGCUGGGCGACCAGUUCUACAAGGAGGCCAUUGAGCACUGUCGCAGCUACAAUGCCCGCCUGUGCGCCGAGCGCAGCGUCCGCCUGCCCUUCCUGGACUCCCAGACCGGCGUGGCGCAGAACAACUGCUACAUCUGGAUGGAGCGCCGCCACCGGGGGCCAGGCAUGGCGGCGGGACAGAUGUACACCUACCCGGCCCGCUGCUGGAGGAAGAAGAGGCGGUUGCACACCCCCGUGGACCCCCAGCUGCGGCUGUGUGAGCUCAGGCUUGAAGGGGAGCUGGCACCCAAGAAAGAGCCCCUGCCCAUGGAAGGCACUACCUUAGAGGCACUGCUGAGAGGCGAGAGCCUGGAGAGGAAGAGCAGCAGCAACAACUCCAAGGAGGAGGAGAGUCUGCUGGAGAUCCAGAGGGUUCUGGAGGCUGAAGAAAACGGGGAUGGUUUCCAUGACGAUGAAGACUUUGAAGUGGAUGCUCCGAAAAGGAAGCAUAGAAACAAAGGCCGGGGGCGAGGCUCAGGACGCAGGAAGGCGGAGGCAGCGGCUGUGGAUGACCAGGACAAGCCAUAUGUCUGUGACAACAGAUACAAACAAAAGCAUAACUCAAAAACGACGGCCUCAGUCUGUGGGAAGCGCUACAAGAACCGUCCGGGCCUGAGCUACCACUACGCCCACACCCACCUGGCGGAAGAGGAGGGUGAGGACGAGAGAGACUCAGAGCCAGCCCAGUCUCCACCUGCUCACUGCUCUGACAACCACAAACCUCAGAAGGGCCCUGAUGGCACAGUUAUUCCCAAUAACUACUGUGACUUCUGCCUGGGUGACUCAGGCAGCAACAGGAAAACAGGCCAGGCGGAGGAGCUGGUGUCCUGCUCUGACUGCGGCCGCUCCGCUGGACGCAUUGGAGGGAGAGACGAGAGGAAGAUGGGCGGGGCCGAGGAAUUGUUUGGUGCCACGUCCGAAAGCGACGCGUCCACGUUUCACGGCUUCGACGACGAUGAAUUCGAUGAGCCCUUGUCGAACGGCAGCGUGGCGUCGCCUCGGUGCAGAUAGAGAACAGAAACAAACUUUAAAAAAUGACAGAAAAAAAGACAGAAACCUCUGACAAAAGUCUGCUGCUUCUUUUUUAAUUGAUUUUUGUUUUUAGUGGAAAGCACAACUGUUCUCUUCAGAAGAGGAAAGCAAUUGUUAUUUUUAUCUUUAGUGGAAAACUUCUGCUUUUUAAUAAGUUAGGAAUAUUAUUAUUUUUAUGUAAACUUUGAAAAGCAAAGAGCAAUGGACAGUGUCUGCCUGAAUUAUGUGCUGACUGUGUGUAAAACAGAAGAAUCUCUUCUUUGGAUUUUUUUUUUCCCUGGAGGGGAAAUGCAGUUAUUUUACAAAAAAAAAAAACUAUGGAACAUUUGGAUUUAACUGUACAGUGUGGUGUAGGACAGACCUGCCAGCAAAGUGGGAUUUGAUUUAAAACAAUGAAUAAAAAGACUAUUGGGAGAAACGCAAUUAAUGUCAAACGAAACCAGCUUGUUUUGUGCGACAGAGAAGUCUGGGCAGAGGAAACGAGGCUUAAUGGAACCAUUUUCAACAGCGGCCCCUGCCUUGGUGAAGAAAAGGGCUCCCGCUGUCUUUACCUCUGGAUUGCAAUAAUGUGAAAGUGAAGGAAUAAGUGACUUCUGGGGGAGAGAGUUUGGCUUGCUGUUACCAUGGAGAGAGGGGGAAACCGCAGUGGGGGUCCUGGUGGAGGGAGAGAGGGAAGGCGUGCCUGGCUGGGGGCAGUUAGCUGAAAGGAACGCUGAGUCAAGCGGAUCCUGAGUGAUCAGCCAACAGGACAGCAGUCAACAGGAAUCAGCCACAGCCUCCACUCCCUGGCCCCCUCGCACCCCCACACCCCCUUCCAUGGACCACAGGAACCCCAGCACUGACCAGCUCUCCCACUGUCUUGCUCUGCCCCUGCAGAUAUGCAGACAGACAGGCAGGCAGACAGACAGAUAGACGCUGUCCCGAGCACGUGCAAUAAAGUCCCAGACACCCUGGAAUUUAGAAGAAGAAUACCCCCUCCCCCUCCCAGGCUGAGCUGGGACUCGAACUUUGAAGAUGACAAAAGCAAUUAUGACAAAAAGAAAGAGAAAUUAUGAAAAUAAAUCUUAACAUGUUUCAGGCACCAUUGCCCACAGCCCAGUUUGAAACACUUUUACUUUUGGUUGUUUCAGUUAUCUGGUCUCAACAUCCUCUGUAAAAAGUUUUAAGUCAAAAUAAGAGGCACUAAAGAGCAUUUUGUAACAUCACUGGCCAUAGUAAGAACAUCAGUUGGCAUCUGCAUUGUUUGCCCACGUCCUUAUUUGCUACACAGAAUAAUAACACAGCCAGUCAGAAGACGUUUUGUCCAGCAUUAUGCAAGAGAAGCAAACCUUUGUCUGACAACUGCUCUAAAAACUCAGUUUAAAGGGGGUAGAAGUGGAAGAUUCCAUGCGAUAUUGUGAUCUCCUCUUGCGAACUGCUUGACUUUUUGCCAUCGCCUCCAGAGAAUCGGCCUGCUCAUAAAUUCUUACCAGAAUAUUUUUUUUUCCAGGAGGAAAGAAGGCGAUGUCAGGGGAGAGAGGGACGGCAUGCUUGUAGAAUUGUGUCAGUGAGCGGAAGCUUCUCAGAAGAGAGGGAAGGAGCUUUGAGAAAUAACUUUGCUUUGAAAAUCUGUGAGGAUUCCCAGUAAUGGCUUAUUUAAGGCAGUUCUGAGAAGUGGAGCCAAUCUCCGGUUCCUUAAGGCAAGUAAUGGACCAGCUCAGAGUUACAAAAAAAAAAAAUCCACUGAGACAGUAUGUCACCCUGUCUCAUCCGAAUUGAAAAUGCCAACUAGAUGGGAAAUGCAAACCGACACUGCACAGUAUAAAUGCCGGCAGUUUGCUUAGGCUGCCCCCUGAUCAGGAAAGGUUACAGCUCAGGACGUGGUUCGUAAAUGUCACUGCCUGACCGUGUGCCCCCAGCAUUGUAUGCUGUCACCCAUUCCUCUGGGCCCACACCAUCUUCUCUGACAUAUCAGAGUCAAAAGGUUUGGCGCUGAGCUCGGCCUUGACUUGGACAAGAAGUCAAGCCUUGACACCCGGACCUGCCCCUGCUCCCCUUUACGAAGUUGUGCAGUUGCAGUGUCACUGAGCUGACUGGCGGAGAGAGGGAACUGGGAACCUGCUGAAAGUGGCUCCUGUCUCCAAACAUAGGGGUUGUAGUUCAUAUUUCUAAUAUAACUGUGAGCGGGUAAAUGUGGACAAUAGCCAAGCCACUGUGAAACAUGGUAAUGCUUAGCCGAAAUAUUUGUUUUUGCUGGUGGGGGGUGGGGAGGGGGGGUACAUAUAAGUCUUCUCGCAAUAGAAGUACCAGAAAUUUGAAGUGUUCUGGAAGAUAGCAUCAAACCCACUUUGUCUUUCACCCUGCAUUCUGGAACUUGAACCUUCUGAAAUGUAUCCAGGCCUCUUUUGAAGAAUCCACAGUUGUUUUCUUGUUGGUGAUGUCUUACAACAUUUGUGGCUGGAUCUGCUGACUUUGUUUAGCACGUUGUUUCACAUUCGUUUAUGUUUUUCCAGUACCUUCCUUUGUUUCUUGACCUCAGUAGAUGCUCAGGCAUUUUGGACUUAUUGAAGUUCUGUAAACUGUGCCGUAUCUAAAUAUGCUCAAAUUUCAAUGUAAUCAGUUGUCCCACAAGGAAAUCUUUUGAGAAGGAAAAGCAAAUGGGUCUUCCAAAACUCUUAACAUGUUUCCCAUUAGGACUGUUUGAUUUCAGUGUAUUGUUUCAAUCUUGUGUUUUCUUGUGUGUUCAAAAGUAAAAUAGGACUUCAUCAGGACUUCCUUUUGUCUCUCGAUAGACUGUCCAGAGGUACAGUUGCAAUGUUAUGUGAAUGAGGAUUUUCUCUCUUUCUCCUUAGCUAUUUUACAUUUACUCCUAGUCCUGACAAUGUUGCAUAGCUUACUCACCUUUGAACCCUCUUUAAAAUAAGCCAUUAUUAUGGGAAAGAGAAGGAUGUAUGCCAUCCACUUGAAAGCGGCAGGCAGUUUGUUAGAUUUAAAAAUAUGAUGGAUAAUGUUCUUAAUGAAUUAAAGUCAGCGAAUUGUAAACCCUGAGAGUGAAUGCAAAAGAAAAUAAUUUCAAUACCAAGGAGUAUUCCUCUCAGGAAAUGCAUAUAUUGCAAUCUGAAUGAUUAAAUACGACAGCUUGUAAACAAAGCCACCAUUGGGACAAACUGCAAGACAAAUCAACUGAGGAAACUCAGCACUGUAAGGAUCCGUUACCACUGCUGUCAAAACACUGGACUGUUUCAUUCUUUUUGGUGCUUAUAAUAAUGACAUGGAAUGAAAUCCUAAUCACAUACAAUGAUGGACUUGUAAUGAGACUACAAUGUAGCUGUUAAACGCCUGCUAAUAAGUAUUGUUUUUCCUGAUUAAGCAAACAUAUGGACAUUUAUGUUAAGACCACUACUGGUUUAGAGUCACAGGCUGACAGACUUAGUGUCACUGAGAGGUUUGCAUUCAUACUUGCAAUUGCAACAUGAGCCAUAGUAUGUUUAUAUAAUACCUUUAUUUGCUGCAGUCUUAUCUGUCCAUGUUGGUUUUGGGUUUUCUCAGGAUCAGUAAAGUGUAGUUUCCCUGGGUUCUCAGCUCUGUAAAAUAUCAGCUCAUUGAAAGUAAAUGGCCUAGCAUAAACAGGACAGUUCUUUUGGCAUCAAGCUGAGGCAUGGAAUUUCUGAUAUCGCAUUCCUCACCCCAGUAAAUCCCAGUUUCUUGACUUGAAAUAAAUUGAUUAUUUUGUUCUGUCCUAAAACAGGUCACAUGGUGUCCUGUCUAAUUAAGAUUCAGUAUGCUCUGAGGUCUCUGGUGGGUGAGGGAGAAGGUUGCAUUUUCAGACAGAAAUAAUCCAUGCAUCAUUGGUUUGUGGAAGAUGACUGGUGUAAUAGACUUAUUGUGUAUCGUCCUGUGGGGAAGCUCCUGUAGGCUUUCAACUUGUGUUCCUCUGAUUGUAUUCCACAGACAGUGAAGGAAAGAGGUGAAUCUGUAGCUGUACUAACAGCAUAUUUCAUUUUAUUUGUUAAUUCUGUAUCGGCUAUUAUAAGACACUGAAGUGAUUUGCGUAGAGUAAGUACCCUGUUAAAGGGUAGCUGAGAAAUUAAGUUUAAGCCCACUGUUUACAAGAGCAUUUCUUUAACCACUAUACUACACUGCUGUCUUUAUUUGAUCAGAAACAUUGCAUUCUUACUUUUGCUAUGUACUGUCUUUAAUUAUAGUGAAAAGACUGAGCCCUGUGACUUAUGUUGGAUUCCAGUGCAGGAAGGUUGGCAGUUUCUUACAGAUUCUAGAUGUUUCUCAGCUGAUGGUCUUAUGAAAAGCUAACCAAAGUGUAACAGAUGUCACAUUCUGUCUUGAUGUAAGCUAGAGGUCACAAAUCUGGUGGAAAGGCCCAAAUUUUUCUUUCAGUGGAGAACGCCAACUGCACUUCAGCUAAACACAUGCAAGCUUGUGGCCAAACGGUGCAGGAACAGGUGCUGAAACCAGCGGCAUCACCUUGGUUUGACAUCUGGCCUUUGAAGAGUCAUGGGAAAUGCAGAGACGGCACACCACAAAAGAUCAGUAAGAUUGCGAUAGGCUGCAGCCCGCUUGUCAGGAUACGUUCUCUUGUUAAUUCACUGGGAAAAAAGGUCAGCAGGUUCCAGAGCAGCCAUCCCUGGGGCCUGCGUGCUCCAGUCAGCUUGGCCAUGGUCCAUUUGAUGUGCCACGAAGGGGAAAAGCCUGACAUGUAAGAGUUGAGUGGUGGAAGCAUUGCGUAAAAAAAGUAAUACAACCUUUGCAUAAGUCAGCAACCUUUAUGCAGUACAUUACAAAAGGUGACUCAAAACAGUUUACGGAUGAAUAAUAGGAAGUGCUGAGGACUGGAAAAUUAUUCUCUGUAUCUGUGAGCAGGUUAAGAACAUCUCAUCUAGAGCUUCAACAGUGCAGGAGUUGAUUCACUUGGCAGAUUUUUUUGUGUCAGUAGCAUUCAAUCCCCAGCCGUAGUUAGAGUGCAGCCUUGUAACAGGAGUCUAGCCCUUUGGAAGGUCCAUGUUAUUAGAUUGCCCCAGGCAAUCAUUGGACGUACCGGUGGGCCAAAUAAAAUCUGCAGUCCACUGCCUUUGCACUUGCACAAUGCUAAUGUGAAGGAGGCAUCUCUGGAAUGCCCCUUGAUGUCCACAUUUUCCUGACAAGAGAUCUGAUUAGCAUGGUAAGCUAAAGACCAAGGUUCCAUGAUGGGGGACGACCUUCAAUAGAGGACAUUGACUAUACUGAGCUCCAUAAUUGCUGUCAGGGCAAAUAAAAUAGUUAUAUAGUUAUACUAGCGGCAGUAACAAACAGACCUAUUUAUUAAUUCCCAGUCAUUGUACAGCUUUGUUAUUUGGAAUCCCCAAUCACUCAUGUAUGAAGUCAGGCAGAGGUGAAUGAAAGUGGCAGUUUGAUAGGGGGCUGUCUUUCUGUGAUUGUCUUUAAAAUCAUCAACCACUGUGCGAGUUUCCCUGUGAACUGUGUUGUUUGUAAAACUCGUGUUAGUCGAAGCGUGCACCAGGAACUGACUUGUGAACCCACAUUGGAAACCGUUGCCUUCACGUCUGCAAGGCAUUGUCAGGACUGUACAUCACCGUGGCGCUUGGCCGAGUUGAUCUGCUGCCAAGCUAAAGCACAGCACAGCACGGCUGCUUUUCACAUCAAACGCACCAGGAAGUGGUCAUGCUCGCCUCUUUUUAGGUGUGUAGCUGUUUGCUUGUUCUCUCUCUGUGUGUCUCUCUCUCUCUCACUAUCACUCGCUCAAGGCCUCUUGCAUGGCAUUGGAAAGCUGUCUGUGUGCAUAGAAAUAUUCCAGUCUGGUUUUAUAUCAGGCCUGUUAUCUUCAGCAAAACCAGGCUACGUUGUAAACUGCCCUGAAGUUGUCGGCGGUGAAGGAAGGGGAGGGGAGAUCAGUGAUAGCCCUUGACAUGACCCUACUUUGUUCACAGUAACAUGUGUUGUGAUAUAAACAAGGGGAAAAUGACCACUCACUAAACUACUUGAUCAUUUUCCGAGUAUGUUUUCCAGUUGAAUUGUCAUCAGAAUUGCAUUUAACCGUUGGUCAAUUUAUCUAUGUGGCAUGUAAAGAAUGUAAGCCACUGGACUGUGUGUGCUCUUGUGUAAAGCAGAGAGAUAAUGGUUAAGGCCGUGCAGAUGAUCGAAAUACAGGUACUGCCACAAACACACACACACACACACACACACACACACACACACACAAACAUAUACACAUAAAAAGCUGUCAGAGACUGUUUACUCAAAUACACCAAUGAAGCACACGCUGCAUGGCCUUCCUCACUGAACUCAAGUCCAAGUUUCUUAUUCUCUUGUUCCCUGAGUUUCCUCAGGAACUUGUUCAGUGUUUCAGCCACUCCUGUUGGGCUGAGAAGAAAAUGGGGUAAUCCCAGCCUCCACAGAUGCAAAUUGUGUUUAUUUGCUAGAACCCCACAAAUAUUUAACCACACAUGGAGAAACUUCAGUAGCAGCCUCGGGAACUCCAUGUUUGCUUGUUACUUGUGAGUUCUUAGCAAUGUCAAUGAACCUCAAACAAAUGGGUUUAGCGCACUUGUGAGCAACAGUUGUCCUCACUGAAUGAGGCCACGGAGUCUGUGUUAAAGGUAGCAGAUGGUUUUCACUGAAGUCUUGUACAGUCCUUAUACCUCUUAAAGGAGUCAAUGAAAGCUGCAUCUCAGUGGUUCCGCUCCAAGUUGUAGUGGAGCUGACUUGAGUUCAGAAUGACUGUUGUAAACUGAUUUUAUUUUCAAUUGUAAAUAACCAAAAUGGUAAAAAGUCUUUGUUAGUGAAACUAUUUUUAUUGUUCCAGAAGGAAAUAAAGAACGAGACUCCUA